CGUUAGACCAGAGUUCUUUUUUUUAACAUGCUAUUGUUAAAAUAAUGACUUCGAUAUUAAUCAUCGAUAUUAAUACCUUGAUAUUCGUUGGGAAAGCUGAUUAUUACGUUUAAGCAAUUUAACCGAGUCUUUCGCAAAGCGAUAAUAUUUUGCGAUCGUGUGAAGAGCGCUUAAACGUGAACGAUGUUGUUAGGUGAUGUGGGAGGGGGGGUGUGAAAACACGAUCGUCGGACCGGCAAGAGGAUCAGACGUGCCGCGCGCGUCUUACACGUAACAACCAUCUUACGUCGUCGUAUCGUCUCUCUCUCUCUCUCUCUCUUUCUCUUUGGCACAAUAAGUUCUCUGAAACAAUAAGAAUAACACAUCUCUUUUCGCAAUAUAUUUAUUUAUAUGAUAUAUUGAGAAAAAAUUUGUUGUAUUCUUUUGGAAUUUUUAUACUUGUUCUUUUUCUUUUUUUUUUCUUUUUCUUAUUUCUUUUUUUGUAAUCAUUUCAAGUGUAUGAUCGAAUCAGAAGUAAGUGUGUAUUCAAGUGCGCGUACGCGUAUAUACGUACGUAAAUGUGUGUGUGUGUGUGUAUAUAUGUGUAUGUGUGUAGAAUUUUACGGAGGAUAGAUCGUCGUGUGUCCGACAUAAAAAUUUAAAAAAUGACAUUCACUUUUGUAACGAAACGGUAAAAACUGCGAACACAAUACGUCGACAUGCGCAGUUAUAAAGUAUUACGCGCAAUAUAUAAUCGCGAGUACGACGUACGGCCGAUUGAUAAUCGCACACUCCGUUCGCGCGUUUCCUUGCGCGUGCAUUACGUGCUUGAGACAACCGACACAUAUUCGCAAACAUGGCUGACUAUACCUGCACGUGAUACGUUUCCGGUCGAAUGCUCUUCCUACAUAAGAAACAACGAUCGUUUUAAUUUUUUGUUAUCUUCGAUUUCGCGAUCGAUUUUAUUUUUAUUAAACUUUAUCCUUCGUUCUUCUAUCUUU
Vespula vulgaris is the source of this 980-nucleotide long non-coding RNA. RefSeq lists it as uncharacterized. The transcript has 2 exons. The record is from RefSeq and is a predicted model, not a curated record. Lineage: Eukaryota; Metazoa; Arthropoda; Insecta; Hymenoptera; Vespidae.